This 273-nucleotide ribosomal RNA is filed under the name uncultured bacterium. RNAcentral describes it as "partial 16S ribosomal RNA". It matches the Rfam family "Bacterial small subunit ribosomal RNA", at positions 524 to 796 of the family's 1533-position model. The record is from RNAcentral.
UACGGAGGGGGCUAGCGUUGUUCGGAAUUACUGGGCGUAAAGGGUGCGUAGGCGGUAUUCCAAGUCGGGCGUGAAAGGCCUGGGCUCAACCCGGGAACUGCGUUCGAGACUGGCAUACUGGAGUCCGGGAGAGGUGAGCGGAAUUCCCAGUGUAGAGGUGAAAUUCGUAGAUAUUGGGAAGAACACCGGUGGCGAAGGCGGCUCACUGGACCGGUACUGACGCUGAGGCACGACAGCGUGGGGAGCAAACAGGAUUAGAAACCCCGGUAGUCC